GGGCGUGUAGCUCAGUUGGGAGAGCGCCUGCCUUACAAGCAGGUGGUCGGGGGUUCAAGUCCCUCCGCGCCCACCA
This 76-nucleotide transfer RNA is filed under the name Candidatus Cloacimonadota bacterium. Its description in RNAcentral is "Candidatus Cloacimonetes bacterium tRNA-Val". It matches the Rfam family "tRNA". From Rfam's summary of the family: Transfer RNA (tRNA) molecules are approximately 80 nucleotides in length. Their secondary structure includes four short double-helical elements and three loops (D, anti-codon, and T loops). Lineage: Bacteria; Pseudomonadati; Candidatus Cloacimonadota. The record is from RNAcentral. RNAcentral also lists the same sequence under 5 other names.